Molecule: unclassified non-coding RNA, 205 nt
Filed under: uncultured Tricholomataceae
Lineage: Eukaryota; Fungi; Basidiomycota; Agaricomycetes; Agaricales; Tricholomataceae
Description: sequence contains ITS2
Source: RNAcentral
AAUUCUCAAACCUUCAACUUUAUUGUUUGAAGGCUUUGGAUGUGGGAGUCUUUGCUGGACGCUCUCGAGUGGUCAGCUCUCCUUAAAUGCAUUAGCGGUUACUGAUUCCGCUACUUGGUGUUGAUAGUCUAUCUUACGCCCUGUAGUCGAAAUCAACUUAUGUAUCUGCUUCUAAUCGUCGCUCUUUUGUGACAAUUUAUUGACU